CCAUAUGUGACAGGCACAUCUGGUUACCUACUCUAAUGGGUGCAGAAAUGGAUCUAACAGGAAGGGGAAGCCAUAUAAUACUCCCCAAGAAUGUUUAAAAGAGGAUUCUUCAGCAUUUCAUGGAAAACAGGAGUCUUAAGGGAACAUCCUAGAGAGCUGAGU
RNAcentral lists this long non-coding RNA (162 nucleotides) under Callithrix jacchus (white-tufted-ear marmoset). RNAcentral's name for it is "lncRNA (ENSCJAG00000066634.2)". Lineage: Eukaryota; Metazoa; Chordata; Mammalia; Primates; Cebidae. The record is from RNAcentral.